GAUGAAGAACGUAGCGAAACGCGAUAAGUAAUGUGAAUUGCAGAAUUCAGUGAAUCAUCGAAUCUUUGAACGCACAUUGCGCCCGUCAGUAUUCUGGCGGGCAUGCCUGUUCGAGCGUCAUUACGCCCCUCAAGUCCCCUGUGGACUUGGUGUUGGGGAUCGGCGAGGCUGGUUUUCCAGCACAGCCGUCCCUUAAAUUAAUUGGCGGUCUCGCCGUGGCCCUCCUCUGCGCAGUAGUAAAACACUCGCAACAGGAGCCCGGCGCGGUCCACUGCCGUAAAACCCCCCAACUUUUUAUAGUUGACCUCGAAUCAGGUAGGACUACCCGCUGAACUUAAGCAUAUCAAUAAGCGGAGGA
This 358-nucleotide unclassified non-coding RNA is filed under the name soil metagenome. Its description in RNAcentral is "partial contains 5.8S ribosomal RNA, internal transcribed spacer 2, and large subunit ribosomal RNA". The stretch from base 1 to 120 matches the Rfam family "5.8S ribosomal RNA", at positions 35 to 154 of the family's 154-position model. The record is from RNAcentral.